AGUUGACUGGGCAAUCGCUGCUGAAACACGUGCGCUAAGGCAUACGGUUUUGGGGGAGGAAAGUCCGGGCUCUAUAGGACAAGGUGCCAGGUAACGCCUGGGGGGUGUGAACCCACGACCAGUGCAACAGAGAGCAGACCGCCGAUGGCCGUAAGGUACAGGUAAGGGUGAAAGGGUGCGGUAAGAGCGCACCGCGCUUCUAGCAAUAGUAAGCGGCACGGUAAACUCCACCUAGAGCAAGAUCAAAUAGGCCUCCGUAUAAUGUGGUCCGCAUUUGGGGGCGGGUCGAUUGCUGGAGCUUAUUCGCGAGGGUAAGCCUAGAUGAAUGAUUGCCACUUAGAAAUAAGUACAGAACCCGGCUUAUAAGUCAACUCA
This 375-nucleotide RNase P RNA is filed under the name uncultured Anaerobiospirillum sp. RNAcentral describes it as "Bacterial RNase P class A". It matches the Rfam family "Bacterial RNase P class A". From Rfam's summary of the family: Ribonuclease P (RNase P) is a ubiquitous endoribonuclease, found in archaea, bacteria and eukarya as well as chloroplasts and mitochondria. Its best characterised activity is the generation of mature 5'-ends of tRNAs by cleaving the 5'-leader elements of precursor-tRNAs. Lineage: Bacteria; Pseudomonadati; Pseudomonadota; Gammaproteobacteria; Aeromonadales; Succinivibrionaceae. The record is from RNAcentral.